UUUUAGCCCGGAUAGCAGCGGAAACCCCGCAGGACUAAAAGCUACUUUUUCUUGGCUUUUUGGGGCGACCAAAGAAGCCGCGAAAAAGUUAUAGAAAAAUAGCUUUUAGGCCGAGGAGUUGCAGCGGAUAGCCGGAAUAGCU
This 142-nucleotide small RNA is filed under the name Flavobacterium lacus. RNAcentral's name for it is "Flavo-1 RNA". It matches the Rfam family "Flavo-1 RNA". The record is from RNAcentral. Lineage: Bacteria; Pseudomonadati; Bacteroidota; Flavobacteriia; Flavobacteriales; Flavobacteriaceae.